UACGAAGGGGGCUAGCGUUGCUCGGAAUCACUGGGCGUAAAGCGCACGUAGGCGGCUUUCUAAGUCAGGGGUGAAAUCCUGGAGCUCAACUCCAGAACUGCCUUUGAUACUGGAGAGCUUGAGUCCGGGAGAGGUGAGUGGAACUCCGAGUGUAGAGGUGAAAUUCGUAGAUAUUCGGAAGAACACCAGUGGCGAAGGCGGCUCACUGGCCCGGUACUGACGCUGAUGUGCGAAAACGUGGGGAGCAAACAGG
RNAcentral lists this ribosomal RNA (253 nucleotides) under uncultured bacterium. Its description in RNAcentral is "partial 16S ribosomal RNA". It matches the Rfam family "Bacterial small subunit ribosomal RNA", at positions 524 to 776 of the family's 1533-position model. The record is from RNAcentral.